AGCGAACGCUGGCGGCAGGCUUAACACAUGCAAGUCGAGCGGGCGUAGCAAUACGUCAGCGGCAGACGGGUGAGUAACGCGUGGGAACGUACCUUUUGGUUCGGAACAACACAGGGAAACUUGUGCUAAUACCGGAUAAGCCCUUACGGGGAAAGAUUUAUCGCCGAAAGAUCGGCCCGCGUCUGAUUAGCUAGUUGGUGAGGUAACGGCUCACCAAGGCGACGAUCAGUAGCUGGUCUGAGAGGGUGAUCAGCCACAUUGGGACUGAGACACGGCCCAAACUCCUACGGGAGGCAGCAGUGGGGAAUAUUGGACAAUGGGGGCAACCCUGAUCCAGCCAUGCCGCGUGAGUGAUGAAGGCCCUAGGGUUGUAAAGCUCUUUUGUGCGGGAAGAUAAUGACGGUACCGCAAGAAUAAGCCCCGGCUAACUUCGUG
This 435-nucleotide ribosomal RNA is filed under the name uncultured bacterium. RNAcentral's name for it is "partial 16S ribosomal RNA". It matches the Rfam family "Bacterial small subunit ribosomal RNA", at positions 29 to 507 of the family's 1533-position model. The record is from RNAcentral.